Molecule: ribosomal RNA, 506 nt
Filed under: uncultured Rhodococcus sp.
Lineage: Bacteria; Bacillati; Actinomycetota; Actinomycetes; Mycobacteriales; Nocardiaceae
Description: bacterial SSU rRNA
Rfam family: Bacterial small subunit ribosomal RNA
Source: RNAcentral
GCGCCUUGCCAGCCCGCUCAGAAACUCAAAGGAAUUGCCGGGGGCCCGCACAAGCGGCGGAGCAUGUGGAUUAAUUCGAUGCAACGCGAAGAACCUUACCUGGGUUUGACAUACACCGGAAAACCGUAGAGAUACGGUCCCCCUUGUGGUCGGUGUACAGGUGGUGCAUGGCUGUCGUCAGCUCGUGUCGUGAGAUGUUGGGUUAAGUCCCGCAACGAGCGCAACCCUUGUCUUAUGUUGCCAGCACGUAAUGGUGGGGACUCGUAAGAGACUGCCGGGGUCAACUCGGAGGAAGGUGGGGACGACGUCAAGUCAUCAUGCCCCUUAUGUCCAGGGCUUCACACAUGCUACAAUGGCCAGUACAGAGGGCUGCGAGACCGUGAGGUGGAGCGAAUCCCUUAAAGCUGGUCUCAGUUCGGAUCGGGGUCUGCAACUCGACCCCGUGAAGUCGGAGUCGCUAGUAAUCGCAGAUCAGCAACGCUGCGGUGAAUACGUUCCCGGGCCUU